GAGAGAAAUUUCUACAGGAGUCUUUGGAGCGCUCCAGUUCUUGCACAGAAAUCUCCUGGAGGUAAUUAGCUUAUCCAUACAAGGCUGAACGCUACGCUACAGGAGGAGUUCUAAACCACCUCCUGUAAUUGGUCCUGAAGUCAAAACCUACUUCACUGAACAUGAAGCUGAAGGGAAACUGAAGAAUAUAGACUAGGAUUUCAACUUAAUCUGGGGAACUGUGGUAAGGAAUAUCCAUGAAAGGAGUGUGCCGCACUUCAAAAAUCCAGAAGGAGAAUGGAAAACUAAACUUGCAUAAGCCUGAGUACAGCACACAGAUGAUUUGAGAAGGAUGCCUCAGAACGUAAUGACAUUACAUGACUGAAGGCACAGUGCUGGUAUUGUGAUAUCUGGAUUUGAUGGUGAAAGAGUUGCAAGAAGGAAGAAUGACUUUCUCCCUCUGUAUCAAUGUGAGCUGAAUUUCUACCUGAUAACAACGUUCAGCUAUUCCAUACUGUCCUGAGGAAUCCCUGACAAACGUGAGAGAAAUUAAAUACUGAUGUUGUAGACUUUGUGCAGUAGCACAGCUCUGGAGAAUGCUAAGAAGAAAUCCUCUGUGUGUUCUCCUGAAUCAUAAAGGCUGGUAAGAAUGAGAAGCCUAACUCAUCAUUAAUCCACAGGCAAAGUACUAUUCAAGCAGCUGUAGUGAAAGCUCUCGUAUGCUGCCCUGGAAAUAACCCCAGCCUUGACGUGGUAAAAUGACCCUAGGUGUCAGUGACACAACACCGCCACCAUGCAGUGAGUUGGAUGGAUGCCUGAAAAUAUGCUAGCCCUUCAGAGUUCCAGCAGCCCUCCCAGAACUGCAUGCAGUACUGCAUUCACUCCAGGACACAAAAUGAACUUUUGUAGUAGAAUCAAGGACAUGGAAAUAACAAAACCUACGGACACAAUCGACUUACAGUGUUCAGUAAGGCUCUUCUGCUGCGAGAAAAAUUGAGACUUCAUAGAAACCGUGUCACCAAGCCCUUUGAAUCAGGUAAUGUCACAUCUAACUUGCAGUAUUGAGUGCUAGCUCCCGUAAAAUAUUGUUCCUGCUAUUUAAAUACUGCUGCACUCUUCACUCUACAGAACCUGGCCCCAUGCAAAACCUUUUAGACUUCAGUGUCUCUUUGCUUCAGGGCCUAACCUCGGGUUCAUAAAAUAUUUGUAGCUGUCAGCCCAGUGCAUCCACAGAAACUGCACAGAUGCAGAAAGCCUAUCUGAUGUAGUGUUAGUAAGAAUAAUUUAGAGCUGCAAAUAUUUAGCAGAUUUUUAACAGAUACAUAUAUAUACACUACAUAUGUAAAUGCAUACAUAUCAGACAAAGUAUACAUGAGAAAAUCUGUGAUUGCUUUGGUGAUGGUACAUCCAAACUGGGCUGUUAGCAAUGAAAAAUGUCUUUAACAUAUCAAGACAGUACUUGAAAGUUCAGUUACAUCUUUACAUUUGUGAUACUCAGUCUUGUUUCAUAUUGGAGGUUGCUGACGAGACAUGUCAUUUUAACACUUUUUUACUGCUCUGUUAUAAUUCUGUCAAGCCUUGGUCCUUUGCUCUCAAAAACUGCAGGACAGAAUAUCUGCCCUGGCCUCCAGAUCUGUCUUUUGUAUGUUUUUAGCUAAUUGGAAAAGUGAAGCCACCUAGGAGCUAACACACAGCUUUAUUUGUGGUUAUGAUCACAGAAUGCAUGAGGUUUGGUUCUUGGUAUGCGUUGUGUUGCUGUGUUCUGCACUUGGCUACUUGCAGUGCCCAUCCAGUGCCUGGAGGACAGGGGGAAAUAAGGAAGAGCCUGGCUUGGAAUUUGGGAGUGCUAUAUUAAAUGUGAGAAAGAGAGAUCAAGUCAUGAAUUGUGCCUGUAUUUAGCCUGUGUGAAGCACUGCCUAAGUGCAGAAUACUGCUGGUCCUUCGUUUCGCUACAGAAAAUGAAUUCUGGUAUGUUGUGCAGCAGAUAAACCCUCAAGGAAAUCAACACUGUGGUUCUCAGGAUUUGAAUGAUGUACAAUAAAUAAGGCCUGAGGUCACAUAAUGAACGUCAUUAAGGGAAAUAAAACAUGAAAUAGCUGUGUGUUAAGCUGAUGGCAUGCGUUCUGUGCGCUGCAUGAGGAAAGAGUCUGUGAGAAGAGUGGUGUGUUAUCAAGUGACUGCAGUCAGUGCCUCAGUUCAGAAGCAGAGGAAAGAUAGUGUCAGCUGGUGUUUCUGAACUGACAAUUGCAACUGACAAUUUUAACGUAUAAUUAUGCAGUUAGCCUUUACAGGACCUCAGCUCUUCUGAUUCUGUCCUUUCCAAAAAUUGGCUCAUGUGCACUGUGCCACUGCCCAGUGUUACAGCAUGCUGGUUGGAACAGGCUGCUAUGUACUUUGUGUGUGCAGAAAUGAUCUUAGUAAUAGCAGGUAUUAGAUUCAGGCAUUUCUCCUUUCUUAGAGUUCUUUUCCUCCGUUAUGAGACAAGCUGGCAGAGUUCAGGACCAUGAUUUACAUAGUCAGGACUUCGCUGUACAGUGAGGCUGCAGCUCUCUCAAAUGCUGCUGUGCGGCAACUUGGCUUUAGAAGAACCAAUGUUUUCUUUUUCAUUUUGAGGUGAUGGUUUCUGACAAGCAGUUCCACUGGAAGUGGUGAUGCAGCGGCAGGGGCUGUGCGGGGCGGUGGUGCAGUCACCAUCCCUGGAUGUGUUGAAGAACCGUGGAGAUGUGGCAGUGAGGGACGUGGUCAGUGGGGAUGGGUUGGUGGAUUGGAUGUGGUGGCCUUUAGAGGUCUGUUCCAACCUUAAUGAUUCUGUGAUUCUGUGAGUAUAGGCAGGUUUUCAGGCAUUUGUUCUGAAAGCUUCUGGGUAGCAACGGUCUGCUUGUUUGUGCUAGGUGGAAGCCAACCGGUGCUCAUUUGGGCCGCUCAUGACAGCUUCACGUGAGCACAGAAAUAGGAGAUUUUACACAGAACGUCCAACAGACAGUGGGAUUUCAGUUUGGACGUUUCUGCAUUAAGCAUCUCAGGUUACACGGGAUAAUCCUCAUCCCGGGGAAAUUCAGUCGUCUUUUGAGUAGUGCUGCAGUGCAGGAACGCGGGAGCUCUUUAUCCCCCCUGGAUAUUUGUUUACAAGUAAAAAGCAUCCGUAAAGCUUUUCGCUCGCUUCUCCCCUUGGGGAUACCCCCGCUUGCGCCCGUUCGUAGCUUCUCCUUGCUGAGCCUCAACGGCGUCACAUCUGCCAGGCGAACGUACGGGACAGAGAGAGCUCCCGGCGGGAUUUGCGCGGGGAAGGCCGCUGGGAGGGGGUUAGUCAGGGUUUCCACCCUGGCCGGGACGCGGCUCUUUG
Gallus gallus (chicken) is the source of this 3322-nucleotide long non-coding RNA. The record is from Ensembl. Lineage: Eukaryota; Metazoa; Chordata; Aves; Galliformes; Phasianidae.